This 568-nucleotide small RNA is filed under the name bovine gut metagenome. The record is from RNAcentral.
AUGUGAUGGCACAUUAUUCUAGUCAAUUAAGCUUACUAUGAAGGUGGAACUAAAAAGUCACUAAAGAGCAUACCUGUGAAACUUCUUGUGUCUGCUUUUUGUGCCCAACUUAGGGUGGAUGCUGGAAGGUAGGAUAUUGGACACUCAUAAUGGCAUAUGAUAAUGCUUCCAAUAACCAUUGAGACCUAUCUUUGUGUUAUAAAAUAAUACGAACUAGGAUUAAACCUACUAUGUGGGGAAACUUACGAGUAGCGUAGCUUGUCUUGAGUGAAUAUGGGGAAUUAAUGAUCAGUUAUAUAUUUCCUAGCUAGAUAUAUAUAAUAUUGCAUUAUGAAACCAUAAUUGCAAAAAAGAACUAAUAGUAAGAAAUUGCUUGAGGAAAUCUCCUAGAGUGACAUUCAUAUAGGAUUACAGUAUGUACUAAGUGGUAAUCAAGUCAUAUAUCUGGUGACAAUAUAUUAUCUUCUUUAAAGGGAAACCACAAACCUGGUAACGGGAUGUAGAAGAUAGGGAAAACCUACUUGACCUAAGACAUAAAGUUAACUGUAUGAAUUGCCAUUUUUAUAAA